GUGACCGUGCCGAUAACUGCGGAGACUGACGACAGGUCCCUUCUCGAAGGAUCGCAAGAGCUCUCCGAGCGCGUGGAGCGCGAUGUGGAAGACCGCGAUCCCCGUGUGGGCUUCACCCUCUGGAAGACAGUGACCUCCACCUUCACCUACACCUCUACCAGCACCGACACCGCCACCACCGUGUCCGCGUCCUUCGUAUGCUCCGUCGCUGACUACGUCGCGCCCUUCCCCGCCUGCUGAGCGGACGCUGUUCUGCUGCCGCGGGCCAUCUGCGUGAAAGAUACGGGUCGUCUCGGCAUCUCGCCCUGCGGAAUGACCAUGCUCUUGUUGUUAUGCUUAUUUAAUGUUUCCUGUUGUCUUAAUAUUAUUAUGUUAUUUACUUUGUAAAAAAUCGGGCCAGCUACAUAUACACACAAUCGAACAAA
Molecule: non-coding RNA, 425 nt
Organism: Penaeus vannamei (Pacific white shrimp)
Lineage: Eukaryota; Metazoa; Arthropoda; Malacostraca; Decapoda; Penaeidae
Source: RefSeq, a predicted model, not a curated record